AGCGUGGGGAGCAAACAGGAUGAGAACCCUGGUAGUCCACGCCGUAAACGAUGUCGAUUUGGAGGUUGAGCCCUUGAGGCGUGGCUUCCGGAGCUAACGCGUUAAAUCGACCGCCUGGGGAGUACGGCCGCAAGGUUAAAACUCAAAUGAAUUGACGGGGGCCCGCACAAGCGGUGGAGCAUGUGGUUUAAUUCGAUGCAACGCGAAGAACCUUACCUGGUCUUGACAUCCACAGAACUUUCCAGAGAUGGAUUGGUGCCUUCGGGAACUGUGAGACAGGUGCUGCAUGGCUGUCGUCAGCUCGUGUUGUGAAAUGUUGGGUUAAGUCCCGCAACGAGCGCAACCCUUAUCCUUUGUUGCCAGCGGUCCGGCCGGGAACUCAAAGGAGACUGCCAGUGAUAAACUGGAGGAAGGUGGGGAUGACGUCAAGUCAUCAUGGCCCUUACGACCAGGGCUACACACGUGCUACAAUGGCGCAUACAAAGAGAAGCGACCUCGCGAGAGCAAGCGGACCUCAUAAAGUGCGUCGUAGUCCGGAUUGGAGUCUGCAACUCGACUCCAUGAAGUCGGAAUCGCUAGUAAUCGUAGAUCAGAAUGCUACGGUGAAUACGUUCCCGGGCCUUGUACACACCGCCCGUCACACCAUGGGAGUGGGUUGCAAAAGAAGUAGGUAGCUUAACCUUCGGGAGGGCGCUUACCACUUUGUGAUUCAUGACUGGGGUGAAGUCGUAACAAAGG
This 738-nucleotide ribosomal RNA is filed under the name Enterobacter cloacae. RNAcentral describes it as "bacterial SSU rRNA". It matches the Rfam family "Bacterial small subunit ribosomal RNA", at positions 758 to 1496 of the family's 1533-position model. Lineage: Bacteria; Pseudomonadati; Pseudomonadota; Gammaproteobacteria; Enterobacterales; Enterobacteriaceae. The record is from RNAcentral.